CCUACGGGAGGCAGCAGUCGGGAAUAUUGCCCAAUGGUCGCAAGACUGAGGCAGCAACGCCGCGUGCGCGAUGAAGGCCUUCGGGUCGUAAAGCGCUUUUCGGGUGGAUGAGGAAGGACAGUACACCCGGAAUAAGGAACGGCUAACUACGUGCCAGCAGCCGCGGUAAAACGUAGGUUCCGAGCGUUAUCCGGAUUUACUGGGCGUAAAGCGCGUUCAGGCGGUUUGGCAAGUCGGGCAUGAAAUCUCUCGGCUCAACCGGGAGAGGUUGUCCGAUACUGCUGGACUUGAGGGCAGUAGAGGGUGGUGGAAUUCCGGGUGUAGUGGUGAAAUGCGUAGAUAUCCGGAGGAACACCAGUGGCGAAAGCGGCCACCUGGACUGUACCUGACGCUCAAACGCGAAAGCUAGGGGAGCGAACGGGAUUAGAAACCCCGGUAGUCCUAGCUAUAAACGAUGUUGACUAGGUGUCGACGGUCUAAACCCCGCCGGUGCCGGAGCAAACGCAUUAAGUCAACCGCCUGGGACUACGGCCGCAGGUUAAACCUAAGGAAUUGACGGCNGAGAGNGCGAGCGACGACGAAGGGAGUAG
Molecule: ribosomal RNA, 590 nt
Filed under: uncultured bacterium
Lineage: Bacteria
Description: bacterial SSU rRNA
Rfam family: Bacterial small subunit ribosomal RNA
Source: RNAcentral